This 479-nucleotide ribosomal RNA is filed under the name uncultured bacterium. RNAcentral describes it as "bacterial SSU rRNA". It matches the Rfam family "Bacterial small subunit ribosomal RNA", at positions 28 to 507 of the family's 1533-position model. The record is from RNAcentral.
GAUGAACGCUGGCGGCGUGCCUAACACAUGCAAGUCGAGCGUGAACCCUUGGAAUGAAACUUCGGUCGAAUGAAGAGGGGGAAAGCGGCGGACGGGUGAGUAACGCGUAGGUAACCUGCCCCAUACAGAGGGAUAGCCUCGGGAAACCGGGAUUAAAACCAUAUAACACUUAACUGCCGCAUGGUAGUGAAGUCAAAUCGAUUAAGAGGUAUGGGAUGAGUUCGCGUCUGAUUAGCUAGUUGGUGAGGUAAGGGCUCACCAAGGCGACGAUCAGUAGCCGGCCUGAGAGGGUGAACGGCCACACUGGAACUGAGACACGGUCCAGACUCCUACGGGAGGCAGCAGUGGGGAAUAUUGCACAAUGGAGGGAACUCUGAUGCAGCGACGCCGCGUGAGUGAAGAAGGUCUUCGGAUCGUAAAACUCUGUCCUUGGUGAAGAAAGGACGGUAGCCAAGGAGGAAGCCCCGGCUAACUACGUG